This is a long non-coding RNA of Poecilia latipinna (sailfin molly), 293 nucleotides long. RefSeq lists it as uncharacterized. The transcript has 2 exons. Lineage: Eukaryota; Metazoa; Chordata; Actinopteri; Cyprinodontiformes; Poeciliidae. The record is from RefSeq and is a predicted model, not a curated record.
CUCAUUAACUUCAUUAACUUAACCUAUGAUUAGAAGGUUAAGUUUCUUAUACUUUGUUUUCCUGCGGUUGUAGACUUGGCAGUAGAAAAUUGAUAACAUAGGAAUAACACCUUUAUAUCCCUUUUAACAGGUUACACUUGAUUCUGCUGUGGUGCCUGUGGAAACAAAGUGCAUGAAGUUUGUGCUGAGUUCACUGCAGACUGGCACCCGCCAAGGACCCUACAUGGAUGUCUUCUUAAGUUGUAAACCCUGAGUACAUACUGUUGAAAUAAAAUUGAUAUGCCUUUUGUAAA